GGCGAACGCUGGCGGCGUGCUUAACACAUGCAAGUCGAACGAAGAGCGACGGAAGCUUGCUUCUAUCAAUCUUAGUGGCGAACGGGUGAGUAACGCGUAAUCAACCUGCCCCUCAGAGGGGGACAACAGUUGGAAACGACUGCUAAUACCGCAUACGAUCUAACCUCGGCAUCGAGGAUAGAUGAAAGGUGGCCUCUACAUGUAAGCUAUCACUGAAGGAGGGGAUUGCGUCUGAUUAGCUAGUUGGAGGGGUAACGGCCCACCAAGGCGAUGAUCAGUAGCCGGUCUGAGAGGAUGAACGGCCACAUUGGGACUGAGACACGGCCCAGACUCCUACGGGAGGCAGCAGUGGGGAAUCUUCCGCAAUGGACGAAAGUCUGACGGAGCAACGCCGCGUGAGUGAUGACGGCCUUCGGGUUGUAAAGCUCUGUUAAUCGGGACGAAAGGCCUUCUUGCGAAUAGUGAGAAGGAUUGACGGUACCGGAAUAGAAAGCCACGGCUAACUACGUG
This 510-nucleotide ribosomal RNA is filed under the name uncultured bacterium. RNAcentral describes it as "partial 16S ribosomal RNA". It matches the Rfam family "Bacterial small subunit ribosomal RNA", at positions 28 to 507 of the family's 1533-position model. The record is from RNAcentral.